RNAcentral lists this ribosomal RNA (253 nucleotides) under uncultured bacterium. Its description in RNAcentral is "partial 16S ribosomal RNA". It matches the Rfam family "Bacterial small subunit ribosomal RNA", at positions 524 to 776 of the family's 1533-position model. The record is from RNAcentral.
UACGUAGGGUGCAAGCGUUGUCCGGAAUUAUUGGGCGUAAAGAGCUCGUAGGCGGUUUGUCGCGUCUGUCGUGAAAGCUUGGGGCUUAACCCCAAGUCUGCGGUGGAUACGGGCAGACUAGAGGCAGGUAGGGGAGAACGGAAUUCCCGGUGUAGCGGUGAAAAGCGCAGAUAUCGGGAGGAACACCGGUGGCGAAGGCGGUUCUCUGGGCCUGUACUGACGCUGAGGAGCGAAAGCGUGGGGAGCGAACAGG